ACACGAGAAGGGAGGUGGUUCGGCAGAUGUAUGGAAACCGGACGCGUGAGGUGACUGCGGGCUAGCGCCCGUCACCCGCAGUGCGGUGCCGGACCCGCGCGUGAGUGUUGCGCGCCGCCGGCCCAGUCCCAAUGCAGUCACCCGACCCGCGAGUCGCCGGUACGUCCGGCCGGCUCCUCCACGGAGGAACCCGACUCGCGGGUCGCCUGCG
RNAcentral lists this small RNA (211 nucleotides) under Streptomyces acidiscabies. Its description in RNAcentral is "Actinobacteria sRNA Ms_IGR-5". It matches the Rfam family "Actinobacteria sRNA Ms_IGR-5". The record is from Rfam by way of RNAcentral. Lineage: Bacteria; Bacillati; Actinomycetota; Actinomycetes; Kitasatosporales; Streptomycetaceae.